AGGGGUGUAGCUCAGUUGGUAGAGCAGCGGUCUCCAAAACCGCAGGUCGGGGGUUCGAGUCCCUCCGCCCCUGCCA
Molecule: transfer RNA, 76 nt
Filed under: Alphaproteobacteria bacterium
Lineage: Bacteria; Pseudomonadati; Pseudomonadota; Alphaproteobacteria
Also listed under: 3 other names
Description: tRNA-Trp
Rfam family: tRNA
About the family: Transfer RNA (tRNA) molecules are approximately 80 nucleotides in length. Their secondary structure includes four short double-helical elements and three loops (D, anti-codon, and T loops). Further hydrogen bonds mediate the characteristic L-shaped molecular structure. tRNAs have two regions of fundamental functional importance: the anti-codon, which is responsible for specific mRNA codon recognition, and the 3' end, to which the tRNAs corresponding amino acid is attached (by aminoacyl-tRNA synthetases). tRNAs cope with the degeneracy of the genetic code in two manners: having more than one tRNA (with a specific anti-codon) for a particular amino acid; and 'wobble' base-pairing, i.e. permitting non-standard base-pairing at the 3rd anti-codon position.
Source: RNAcentral